This 2009-nucleotide ribosomal RNA is filed under the name human oral metagenome. RNAcentral describes it as "bacterial LSU rRNA". It matches the Rfam family "Bacterial large subunit ribosomal RNA", at positions 1104 to 2925 of the family's 2925-position model. The record is from RNAcentral.
GCUUAGAAGCAGCCAUUCAUUUAAAGAGUGCGUAACAGCUCACUAGUCAAGAGAUUUUGCGUGGAAAAUGUAACGGGGCUAAAGUGUUAAACCGAAGACAUGGACUUCUGCUUUUGCAGGAGUGGUAGAGGAGCGUUGAUAUCGCAGCGAAGUCAGACUGGAAAGUCUGGUGGAGCGUUAUCAAGUGAGAAUGCUGGAAUCAGUAACCUUAAGGCAGGUGAGAAUCCUGCCGGUCGUAAGAGCAAGGUUUCCAGGGCUACAGUAAUUGUCCCUGGGUUAGUCGGUCCUAAGCCGAGGCGUAUCAGCGUAGGCGAUGGACAACAGGUUAAUAUUCCUGUACAGGUAGUAGUUGUGAACAGUUCACGGUGAAUGACCGGAGCGGAUCAAUGGUUUAUCCGUCCAAGUCUUUAGGGAACUAAAGAUGAGUGAAAGGUAAUCUUCGGAUUAUUGAUUCCGGGUGAAGCGCUGGCUAGAAAAGCUGGUUCACUUAUGCUGCUGCCUACCGUACCGCAAACCAACACCGGUGCUCGGGUCGAGUAGACCAAGACCUACGUGAGAACCUUCGCUAAGGAACUCGGCAAAAAAGCGUCCGUAACUUCGGAAUAAGGACUGCCCUCUCAUUAAGAUGAGGAUUUGCUAGAAACUCAGCAGAAGAUUCAGAUUAUGUUACAUAUUUACUAUAAAUUUGUUUUUUUCGAGACCAUAAGCACGGCCGAACGGCCUUGAGUGUGUCGAGAAAAACAACAAAUUUUAGUUAUUUACCUUUAACUGAAUUUUUUCGUUGAGACAGAACACAAAUCAGGAUUUGUUUUAACAAAUUCGUGUCUUUUCUAGUAGUCUAAUCGUCAUUUUGAUGAGAGGGCCGCAGCUAAAGAGCCCACGGAACUGUUUACCAAAAACAUAGGUCUCUGCUAACGCGAAAGCGGAUGUAUAGGGGCUGACUCCUGCCCGGUGUCGGAAGGUUAAGGGGAGAGCUUUACGGUUCGAACUGAAGCCCCGAUGAACGGCGGCGAUAACUAUGAUCGUCCUAAGGUAGCGAAAUUCCUUGUCUGGUAAGUUCAGACCCGCACGAAUGGAGUAAUCAUGUGGGCACUGUCUCGGCGAAGGCCACGGUGAACGUGCAUUGGCGGUAAAGAUGCCGUCUGAUCAUGCCAGGACGAGAAGACCCCAUGGAGCUUUACUACAACUUUGCAUUGAUUAUUGGGACAUUUUGUGUAGAAUAGGUGGAAGACUUUGAAGCAGAUACGCUAGUAUUUGUGGAGUCGAAAUGUGAAAUACCACCCUGAAUGUUUUAGUAAUCUCACUUUUGACCUGAUCGGCCAAAAGGACCGUGCAUGGCGGGUAGUUUAACUGGGGCGGUUGCCUCCUAAAGAGUAGCGGAGGCGUUCAAAGGUUGGCUAACUACGGAUGGAAAUCGUAGUGAUAGUGUAUGCGCAAAAGCCAGCUUGACUGUGAGGGCCACAACCCAAUCAGACACGAAAGUGGGAGCAAAUGACCCGCUGUACAGAACUUCGGUUCAAUUUACGUGGGAAAGACAGCGCACACGGAUAAAAGUUACCCUGGGGAUAACAGGCUGAUCGCGCCCAAUAGUUCACAUAGACGGCGCGGUUUGGCACCUCGAUGUCGGCUCAUCACAUCCUGGAGGGGGAGCACCUUCCAAGGGUUCGGCUGUUCGCCGAUUAAAGUGGUACGCGAGCUGGGUUCAGAACGUCGUGAGACAGUUCGGUUUAUAUCCGGCAUGAUCGUUAGGAAUUUUGAGGAGAUCUGCCCCUAGUACGAGAGGACCGGGGUGGACGGAUCUCUAGUGUAUCGGUUGUGACCACCUGUUGCAUUGCCGAGUAGCUAUAUCCGGAAGAGAUAAGCGCUGAAAGCAUAUUAAGCGCGAAGCCCACUCCAAGAUUAGAAUUCCCUAUGAGAUCCCAGAAAGAAGAUCUGGUUGAUAGGCGCAAGAUGGAAGUACCGUAAGGUAUGGAGUCGAAGCGUACUAAUAGAUCCAUCGCCUUUUUAUG